RNAcentral lists this ribosomal RNA (465 nucleotides) under uncultured bacterium. Its description in RNAcentral is "partial 16S ribosomal RNA". It matches the Rfam family "Bacterial small subunit ribosomal RNA", at positions 338 to 795 of the family's 1533-position model. The record is from RNAcentral.
CCUACGGGAGGCAGCAGUGGGGAAUUUUGCGCAAUGCGCGAAAGACUGACGCAGCAACGCCGCGUGAGUGACGAAGGCUUUCGGUACGUAAAGCUCUUUCAGUAGGGAAGAAAAAACAUAUAAGUAACUGUGUAUGUAUUGACGGUACCUGUUUAAGCAGCCCCGGCUAACUACGUGCCAGCAGCCGCGGUAAUACGGAGGGGGCGAGCGUUGUCCGGAGUGACUGGGCGUAAAGAGCACGUAGGCGGUUUUGUAAGUCCGAAGUGAAAGACCAGGGCUCAACCGUAGAAAGGCUUGUGAUACUAGAAUACUUGAGUAUCAGAGAGGAUUGCAGAAUUCCUGGUGUAGCGGUGAAAUGCGUAGAUAUCAGGAGGAAUACCAGUAGCGAAGGCGGCAAUCUGGCUGGAAACUGACGCUGAGGUGCGAAAGCGUGGGUAGCAAACAGGAUUAGAUACCCGAGUAGUC